Molecule: ribosomal RNA, 354 nt
Filed under: uncultured bacterium
Lineage: Bacteria
Description: bacterial SSU rRNA
Rfam family: Bacterial small subunit ribosomal RNA
Source: RNAcentral
AGAGUUUGAUCAUGGCUCAGGAUGAACGCUAGCUACAGGCUUAACACAUGCAAGUCGAGGGGCAGGCAUGGUCUUAGCUUGCUAAGGCCGAUGGCGACCGGCGCACGGGUGAGUAACGCGUAUCCAACCUGCCUUACACUCUUGGACAGCCUUCUGAAGGGAGAUUAAUACAAGAUGUUAUCAUGAGUAAGCAUUUUCGACAUUGAUUAAAGGUUUACCGGUGGUAAGAGUGGGGAUGCGUUCCAUUAGAUAGUAGGCGGGGUAACGGCCACCUAGUCUUCGAUGGAUAGGGGUUCUGAGAGGAAGGUCCCCCACAUUGGAACUGAGACACGGUCCAAACUCCUACGGGAGGCA